UACGAAGGGGGCUAGCGUUGCUCGGAAUCACUGGGCGUAAAGCGCACGUAGGCGGAUCGCUAAGUCAGGGGUGAAAUCCUGGAGCUCAACUCCAGAACUGCCUUUGAUACUGGCAAUCUCGAGUCCGGGAGAGGCGAGUGGAACUGCGAGUGUAGAGGUGAAAUUCGUAGAUAUUCGCAAGAACACCAGUGGCGAAGGCGGCUCACUGGCCCGAUACUGACGCUGAGGUGCGAAAGCGUGGGGAGCAAACAGG
This 253-nucleotide ribosomal RNA is filed under the name uncultured bacterium. Its description in RNAcentral is "partial 16S ribosomal RNA". It matches the Rfam family "Bacterial small subunit ribosomal RNA", at positions 524 to 776 of the family's 1533-position model. The record is from RNAcentral.